GUGCUUGCUUUGGCAGCACAUAUCUUAAAAUUGGAAUGAUACAGAGAAGAUCAGCAAGGCCCCUGUGCAAGGAUGCAUGCAAAUUCGUGAAACAUUUCAUAUAUAU
RNAcentral lists this small nuclear RNA (106 nucleotides) under Sus scrofa (pig). Lineage: Eukaryota; Metazoa; Chordata; Mammalia; Artiodactyla; Suidae. The record is from RNAcentral.